RNAcentral lists this ribosomal RNA (450 nucleotides) under uncultured bacterium. RNAcentral describes it as "bacterial SSU rRNA". It matches the Rfam family "Bacterial small subunit ribosomal RNA", at positions 335 to 800 of the family's 1533-position model. The record is from RNAcentral.
ACUCCUACGGGAGGCAGCAGUGGGGAAUAUUGCACAAUGGGCGCAAGCCUGAUGCAGCAACGCCGCGUGAGUGAAGAAGGCCUUCGGGUUGUAAAACUCUGUCCUAAGGGAAGAAACAAAUGACGGUACCUUAGGAGGAAGCCCCGGCUAACUACGUGCCAGCAGCCGCGGUAAUACGUAGGGGGCAAGCGUUAUCCGGAAUCACUGGGCGUAAAGGGUGCGUAGGUGGCCUGACAAGUCAGGGGUGAAAGGCAUUGGCUCAACCAAUGUAAGCCUUUGAAACUGUUGGGCUUGAGUGCAGGAGAGGUAAGUGGAAUUCCUAGUGUAGAGGUGAAAUUCGUAGAUAUUAGGAGGAACACCAGUGGCGAAGGCGACUUACUGGACUGUAACUGACACUGAGGCACGAAAGCGUGGGUAGCGAACAGGAUUAGAUACCCUGGUAGGCUCUGC